This 1020-nucleotide long non-coding RNA is filed under the name Lynx pardinus (Iberian lynx). The record is from RNAcentral. Lineage: Eukaryota; Metazoa; Chordata; Mammalia; Carnivora; Felidae.
CCCAUCCAUUAAAGGCAAGAGAGUGAAAAGUGGGAGAGGAAGCUCCCAAUAUCAACAGCAGUGACCUGGGGUCACACAAGAAGGAGUUAUAAAGGAGUAAAAGCUUCUUUAUUCAGAUGGUUCCUUUCAGGGCAACUCAUUUCAUGAUACUUAAUGCAGCCGGCUUAAAGAACAGUUGGGUUAGAUAUAACUUACAGUACGUCACACAAAUCUGGAGUGCCCAUGGAACAUUAAUUUCAGGGCCGCGUUGGAUUAUGCUCUUACAACCAGUCUCUUUGCCAGGGGCAGCUUGUAACUCAGAAAGUCAUGUUUCAUUGAGGAUGUGCUGUAUAAUGUUGAAGGGGAAAGUUAACUAUUUUGUUUUGCUGUGUUUUUUUUUCCCAGUCCAAGUAGAAAGCAUUUGGGAACGAGCUUUGCAUGCUAAACUGAACCUUUCUUUUUUUUAUUUUCAUGUUUAUUUUUGAGAGAGAGAGUGGGGGGAGGGGCAGAGAGAGAGGGGACAGAGGCUCCAAAGCGGGCUCUGCACUGACAGAAGAUAGCCUGAUGCAGAGUUUGAACCCACACACCACAAGAUCAUAACCUGAGGCGAAGUCGAGACGAUUAACCAACUGAGCACCCUAAACUGAAAUUUUCUAUAAAGUUGUUCUCACUCAUUUUGGCACAAAUCUGCAUGGGCCAUUUCUCUUUAGCAUUUAAUCUUGUUCUUAGCACACAACCUCCCUGCUAAUCUGAGAUCCCCUCAAACAAGCUGACCAUACUGGGAUUUGCUUUUCCCCAUAUACAGUUAAGUGUCACUUUCUUCUGAAUCUAUGUUUUCCCCAUGUGUUUUCCACCAUAGCAUGCCAGAUACUAACUCGUCCCUACCCAAAGGGGCUGCUAAAAUUCCACCUCCUUCCAGGCGAUGGUGAGGUGGUUCCUUUUUUAGCCUUAACUACUCCCCAGUUCUGGUAACUAGUAACAAUUUAUUCAAUUUUAAAAAGAUUAAUUCUCCUAAGUAAUAUAAGCACUGAAUUUUAUUCA